UCCAUGUUAUCCAGGGACCUUCUGCUUC
This 28-nucleotide small RNA is filed under the name Bombyx mori (domestic silkworm). RNAcentral's name for it is "piRNA piR-bmo-1840975". Lineage: Eukaryota; Metazoa; Arthropoda; Insecta; Lepidoptera; Bombycidae. The record is from RNAcentral.